Non-coding RNA from Zootermopsis nevadensis, 397 nucleotides. NCBI's taxonomy places the organism in Eukaryota, Metazoa, Arthropoda, Insecta, Blattodea, Termopsidae. The record is from RefSeq and is a predicted model, not a curated record.
GCACAAUUUCUAGUCAAUCCUGAUUUUUAUCUGCUAGAGCCAUGUAAUAGGGAUCAGGAUACACGUGAGUGAGAAACACAGCCGCUGAGUUUUGCUGAACAGCAUUAAUUCUCUCAUGCUUGCAGGUUUACCUUUUGUAAAUCUAAGACAUGGGGAUGUUGUAGUAUGGAUUUUUAUCACCCUCGACCAGGUUUGAACCCGCAAACUGUGGGUCCAGGUCCAGUGGCAAGGACAAUAACCACUAGGCCACGGACCGCCAAGGGGAAGGCCAGCCCCGCCGGCUGAAGAAGAAUAUGCAACGUCGUACAAGAUCUACUUUUCAAGGAAAAUAAGCUACUUUUAAAUAUUUUUAAUGUAUGUUAAAACAUGUUUAAUAAAAUUGUUAUUUUUAUAAAAA